This 465-nucleotide ribosomal RNA is filed under the name uncultured bacterium. RNAcentral's name for it is "partial 16S ribosomal RNA". It matches the Rfam family "Bacterial small subunit ribosomal RNA", at positions 338 to 795 of the family's 1533-position model. The record is from RNAcentral.
CCUACGGGAGGCUGCAGUAGGGAAUCUUCCACAAUGGGCGAAAGCCUGAUGGAGCAACGCCGCGUGGGUGAAGAAGGUCUUCGGAUCGUAAAACCCUGUUGUUAGAGAAGAAAGUGCGUGAGAGUAACUGUUCACGUUUCGCCGGUCUCUAACCAGAAAGCCACGGCUAACUACGUGCCAGCAGCCGCGGUAAUACGUAGGUGGCAAGCGUUAUCCGGAUUUAUUGGGCGUAAAGGGAACGCAGGCGGUCUUUUAAGUCUGAUGUGAAAGCCUUCGGCUUAACCGGAGUAGUGCAUUGGAAACUGGGAGACGUGAGUGCAGAAGAGGAGAGUGGAACUCCAGGUGUAGCGGUGAAAUGCGUAGAUAUAUGGAAGAACACCAGUGGCGAAAGCGGCUCUCUGGUCUGUAACUGACGCUGAGGUUCGAAAGCGUGGGUAGCAAACAGGAUUAGAUACCCGUGUAGUC